RNAcentral lists this ribosomal RNA (272 nucleotides) under Salmonella enterica subsp. enterica serovar Muenchen. RNAcentral's name for it is "partial 23S ribosomal RNA". It matches the Rfam family "Bacterial large subunit ribosomal RNA", at positions 634 to 908 of the family's 2925-position model. The record is from RNAcentral. Lineage: Bacteria; Pseudomonadati; Pseudomonadota; Gammaproteobacteria; Enterobacterales; Enterobacteriaceae.
UCUGUAGCAAGGUUAACCGAAUAGGGGAGCCGGAGGGAAACCGAGUCUUAACCGGGCGUUAAGUUGCAGGGUAUAGACCCGAAACCCGGUGAUCUAGCCAUGGGCAGGUUGAAGGUUGGGUAACACUAACUGGAGGACCGAACCGACUAAUGUUGAAAAAUUAGCGGAUGACCUGUGGCUGGGGGUGAAAGGCCAAUCAAACCGGGAGAUAGCUGGUUCUCCCCGAAAGCUAUUUAGGUAGCGCCUCGUGAAUUCAUCUCCGGGGGUAGAGC